Molecule: unclassified non-coding RNA, 348 nt
Filed under: soil metagenome
Description: partial contains 5.8S ribosomal RNA, internal transcribed spacer 2, and large subunit ribosomal RNA
Rfam family: 5.8S ribosomal RNA (bases 1-120)
Source: RNAcentral
GAUGAAGAACGCAGCAAAAUGCGAUAAGUAAUGUGAAUUGCAGAAUUCAGUGAAUCAUCGAAUCUUUGAACGCACAUUGCGCCCGCUGGUAUUCCGGCGGGCAUGCCUGUUCGAGCGUCAUUUCAACCCUCAAGCCCCCGGGUUUGGUGUUGGGGAUCGGCUCUGCCCUUCUGGGCGGUGCCGCCCCCGAAAUACAUUGGCGGUCUCCCUGCAGCCUCCAUUGCGUAGUAGCUAACACCUCGCAACUGGAACGCGGCGCGGCCAUGCCGUAAAACCCCAACUUCUGAAUGUUGACCUCGGAUCAGGUAGGAAUACCCGCUGAACUUAAGCAUAUCAAUAAGCGGAGGA